Non-coding RNA from Elaeis guineensis (African oil palm), 1409 nucleotides. The record is from RefSeq and is a predicted model, not a curated record. NCBI's taxonomy places the organism in Eukaryota, Viridiplantae, Streptophyta, Magnoliopsida, Arecales, Arecaceae.
AUAAUUAUAUAUAUUUAAUAUAUAUUUUAUAAAUUAAUUAUAUUAAUUAAUCUAAUCUAAUAUAUAUAAUAUAAAAUAGAAACCUCUCAAGAGAAAAGCCUCCAUGUGACACGUAGAUUAUUAAAAAAAAAAAUACGUGAAGUUCGUCUCCUUCUCCAUGUUCGAUCAAGAGAGUAAGAGUCUCACGUCUCCUCCGUGUUCGAUCAAGAGAGCAAGAGUAUUUUUGCUGUGUUCGAUCAGGAGAGCAGGAGAGGCGGCGACGUAACCCUCCUCGCCAGUCUGCUCUGCUCCAAAACCCGUCCAUCGCCGGUGACGUAACCCUCCUCGUCAGUCUGCUCUGCUCCUAAACCCCGUCCAUCGCCGGCGAUGUUGAGGUGUUCUAUUCGCGCACAGCAACGAUCGGAAAUUGUGUGCCCUCGGGAGCCGCCACGGACGCAACAACGCAUGGUAAAGGCUUGUAAAUGCUUUAAUUCAGAGCAACUCGGUCAAACGACCAUUAAAAUCGUCAAAAGGUCAUGAUGAUGUGGUGUCUCGGAUAUCGAUCCCCGUCAUGUUAUUCCUCUCAGAGAGCAUGUUUCUAGCUUUUUAUUAUUAUUAUUAUUAUUUUGGAUAAAUCGGAUAGCUGCAGCCGAAGGACGAGGAAGAGUUGUUGCCGACACCGCCGAGAGCGGUGGCGGCGUGGAUCGGGGACAAAUCCCGGUCGUGGACGCCAACAACGGGGAGGAUCUGGCCGUCGCUGAGCUUGACGAGGAAGUCCCGGUCACAAGAAGUCGGCAUCAACGAUGGCGACCUCAGGGUGAUAUCAGCGACAAUGAGCCGCCGUCGACGGAGGAGGCCGAGAUGAAGAAUCUGGUCUCGGCGGCGACGAGGGCAUCGAUGCUUCCGCCGACGGAGAGGAAGACGACGUCAACGAAGGUACCAUCGAACGUGUUGAGAAUGUCAAAUCAAUGAAGUGGGUUGCCGUCGUGGGUGUUCGGGACAGCGGCAGAUGGAGGUAAGAGAGGAAUAACCCGAGUUAGAGUGCGGUCCAAGAAAGCAGAGAUGCACCGAGCGUACGUAUUUAAAAAUGCCCUCUCCUUUUAGGCUUAAUUUACGCACCUGCCACUCUAUGCUUCCCGGAUUAUGGCCUGUCUUCAAAACGGUCAUUUCAAUCAUCCAUAAACAAAACAAACGGUCAGUAUUUACCCCAAAAAGAAGAUGAUGGUACGAAAUUCCAAUUAACCAACUGUUGCUAAACCUGCUUAGUAGUUGUAAGCGCAGUUACAGCGUUGCCGUGGCGGCCGUUGUUAACUUAUUACAGCUCCCGUAAUCGUUUUGUAAUAUUAUUUACCGUGCAGAGGAGCAAACUGGUGAUUGUGGUAAAUUACUCACUAAUCUAAUAAAAUGCAAUGAGAAAUGGCUUCAUGUGG